Molecule: non-coding RNA, 85 nt
Organism: Myotis brandtii (Brandt's bat)
Lineage: Eukaryota; Metazoa; Chordata; Mammalia; Chiroptera; Vespertilionidae
Source: Rfam
UUACGAGGGGAAAACACAGGGAACGGAUGAGGUCUCACUGACCGGCAGUCUCCCCAAGCCCCCCGGCCCCAGGCCAAGCCCCUAC